GAUGAACGCUAGCGACAGGCUUAACACAUGCAAGUCGAGGGGCAGCGGGGGCGGAAGCUUGCUUUCGCCCGCCGGCGACCGGCGCACGGGUGAGUAACACGUAUGCAACCUGGCCGCCACAGGGGGAUAACCCGCGGAAACGCGGCCUAAUACCCCGUGACGCCACCGGAGGGCAUCCUCCGGUGGCCAAAGGAGCGAUCCGGUGGCGGAUGGGCAUGCGGCGCAUUAGCUAGACGGCGGGGUGACGGCCCACCGUGGCGACGAUGCGUAGGGGUUCUGAGAGGAAGGUCCCCCACAUUGGAACUGAGACACGGUCCAA
Molecule: ribosomal RNA, 319 nt
Filed under: uncultured bacterium
Lineage: Bacteria
Description: bacterial SSU rRNA
Rfam family: Bacterial small subunit ribosomal RNA
Source: RNAcentral